This 1520-nucleotide long non-coding RNA is filed under the name Olea europaea subsp. europaea. Lineage: Eukaryota; Viridiplantae; Streptophyta; Magnoliopsida; Lamiales; Oleaceae. The record is from RNAcentral.
CCAACCUUUCAAGAAGGUUGCAGGUCUACCCUCAACCUUUAAAAGUGAAAUCAAACAUCCCAAACAUUUGUCCUCUUCUUUAAAUAAUUAAAAAUAAUUCAGAAAAAAAAAAAUUAACUAAAAAAUUAUAAGACUUUGAAGUGUCAUCUUCCCUGAUCACCCCACAUAUCCUCCCACCCUAAUCCAAAUCUAUGCCACCACGUUUCUUCUGCCACCAUCCCCACUUCACCCAACCCCAACCCACCAAUAUUUUUCAUCUUCCUGACUUCCCGUCAUACAUAUAUGGCAGCCAUCAAUUCACCGCCCUCAGUUUCACCAAUAAUCCCGACUAAAAUUUCACAAAAUAUCCCCAAACCCAUCUAUUCAAUUUCACUUCAAAAUCAUCUAACUCUUGUCCUCAUUUUCACUUUUCACCAUCAUUGAAGUGAAAGGACCGCUCACGGUUCCUUCUUCAAAUCCUGCAACAAUAUUCGUAUAUCUCAAGUGCCCAAGAAUUUGUUUGAUGUGGAAAUUUUAUUGCAUUCUUAGCUCACAACAUUUUGUAGUGUAAAGAAAUUUUUUGCUCAAGCAGAAUGUAAUGUUUUUAACUGAUAAAUGCUUAAAGGUGCAAAAUUUGAAGCAAAAAGUACCACAAUCCAUCGUUUUUCACUUCUUUUAUAGUUUUGCUUCAAUUUUUAGGCCAAUUCUCUAAAACCUAGAACCUAUUGUUCUGCUUCAAAGUCUUCAUUACAUUUUUCCCAGCAUCCACAAAAUUCUUGGUGGGUGAUAUUUUUAACACUAAAGAGAAGCUUGAGUCACAGGUCUAUAAGUUUUUGGAAGGUGCUAUUUUCCUUUCGAUUGUACUAUAUGUAUAUAAUAGGCUUACAUAAUGGUUUGCAUACACAUGAUACGGUGAAAUAUGAUUGAAUCAAAACUUCUUCAACCAAAUAAAAAAAAUAUUUCCCAUUUUCUUUUUGACAUUUCAUCUGUACGUAAACCAUUAUACAACUGCUCAUGUACUAGUAGCAUUAUUCUUUUCCUUUUGUAUACCUUCUUGCCAAUUCCACCCAUUUGUUACACUCUAAUUUUCAUAGUGAAAAAAUAGGUUUUUGGGUUAGAAAAAUUUGGAAUUUGAGUUGAUGAAAUUCAUGAAAAGAUAAUAAUGGCCAGUGGUGGUGUUGGACGGAGGUGAUGGCUGGUGGGGAUAAAGUGAAGUGAAGAAGAUAAACGAUUUGGGAUUGAAUCUUUUUGUUAUUUAUUGUUUUUCUUUUGUUAGUUUCCUUUUUAAUUACUUAAAGAGAAGGGAAAAUAUGUCCUCUCACUCGACUUUAAUGUACAAAUUGGACGGAUUCUGUGAACAGGGACGAACCGUGCCUAUUUCGUGGGGAUGUCUGGUACCAUUUUUAAAGGUUGGGGUAGAUCUGCAACAUUUUUGAAAGGUUGGGGGACCAAAUACAUAUUUCUACCAAAAAGAAUUGAAUAUCAAACUAUGAUUCACAAAAGUUUCCACCAACUUGACAAGAACAGGAAAAAUACUCAAA